Molecule: ribosomal RNA, 249 nt
Filed under: uncultured bacterium
Lineage: Bacteria
Description: partial 16S ribosomal RNA
Rfam family: Bacterial small subunit ribosomal RNA
Source: RNAcentral
UGGGGAAUCUUGGACAAUGGGCGAAAGCCUGAACCAGCGACGCCGCGUGGAGGACGAAGGCCUUCGGGUCGUAAACUCCUUUUGCAAGGGAAAAAGGGAAGGGUUCGACUAGGGCCCUAUACUUGAUGGUACCUUGCGAAAAAGCCCCGGACAACUACGUGCCCGCAGCUGCGGUAAUACGUAGGGGGCGAGAGUUAUCCGGAGUUACUGGGUGUAAAGGGGACGCAGCGGGACCUGUAAGUCGGGUGA